Molecule: ribosomal RNA, 3040 nt
Filed under: Nitrososphaerota archaeon
Lineage: Archaea; Thermoproteati; Nitrososphaerota
Description: Thaumarchaeota archaeon 23S ribosomal RNA
Rfam family: Archaeal large subunit ribosomal RNA
Source: RNAcentral
AAUCAUCCGACACAACGACGCUGUAUGGUGAAUGGCUUGGCUUGGUAUGGCGAAGAAGGGCGCGGUAAGCUGCGAUAAGCUCCGGGGAGGCGCAAGCAUCCUUCGAUCCGGAGAUUCCCGAAUGGAGUCCAAUCUAAGAGGACUGCCGCAAGGCAUCCUCUUGUUCCGCAAGGAACGCAAACCCUGGGGAAGGAAACAUCUGAGUACCAGGAGGAAGAGAAAUCAAUUGAGAUCCCGUUAGUAGGGGCGACCCAAAGCGGGACAGUCCAAACCGAAUCUUUGCCCGAAAGGGCCGAGAGAUGUGGGGUUCGCCUUAGCAUAUGCAACCCUGGACUCGUGCGGUCGAACUUGCCUGGAAAGGCAGACAAAACAAGGUGAUAGUCCUGUAGACUGUUCGAGAACGAGGUUGUGCGAAAGGCAGAGUACCGGGCUUUGGCAGUGGCUCGGGAAGGCGGGGGAAAGCAGCCCCCAAGACUAAACACAAACCAAGACCGAUAGAGCACUAGUACCGCGAGGGAAAGCUGAAAAGUACCCCGAAAGGGGUGUGCAAAGAGCCUGAAACCAUCCAGCUACAGACGUUCAGGGCAUGAAAGAGGUAUGAUUCCAUCGCGAUCACCCGCAAGGGAGGUCAAGGUGGGUUAAGUGCCUCAGUGUCCUGAGUUCCGUCUAGAAACACGGGCCGGGGAGUUAUCUGUCAUGGCGAGCCUAAGGGUUCAAAGCCCGGAGGCGAAGCGAAAGCGAUUCUGCGUAACCUCGCAAGAGGCCUGGCAGGAGGUCUGAAAGGGCCUUAAAGUCAUGGCGGAUUAGACUAGAAACCGAUCGAUCGUGGCCAGAACAAGUUGAAGCCGGGCGAAAGCCUGGUCGAGGACUGCAAGGGUCUUAACGUGCAAUUUAGUCCCCUGAUUCUGGCCAAGGGGCCAAAAGCCUAUCUAGUUCGGUGAUUGCUAGUUCCCACCGAAGCGGAUCCCAGUCCUGUCUCCACCGAGGUAGUUGACGUUGUAGAGCACCAACGAGAAAACAAGGAUUCGAAAGGAUCCACUUUCUUCUUGAACUCCGAAUGUGUCAACGCCGUAGACGUGGGGAGGCGGGUUUAUGUGGGGUAAGCCUCAUAACCGAGAGGGGGUUAACCCAGACUAGAGUUAAGGUCCCCAAAUUUUGGCUAAGUGUCAAGCAAAAGGGAGUCUUCGACCUAAAACAGCAGGGAGGUAAGCUUAGAAGCAGCUAUCCUUCAAAGAAAGCGUAACAGCUCACCUGCCGAGGUUGAGGGCCCCGAAAAUGGACGGGGCUAAAGCCAAGUACCGAUACUCUGGGCAACCGCAUUGUAUGCGGUUUGCGGUAGAUGGGCGUGGUGAUUGGGUAGAAGCUGGGCCGUGAGGUCCAGUGGACCGAUCUCCAGUGCAGAUCCCGGUAGUAGUAGCAGCGUAGUCGGGUGAGAAUCCUGACCGCCGAAAGGACACGGUUUUCCUGGCAAUGCGUCAUCAGCCAGGAGUUAGCCGAUCCUAAGAUCAAACUCAACAGUAUUGGUCGAAUGAGGGAAUGCGGUUAAUAUUCCGCAGCCUUUGGUAUUUCGGAAAUCCGUAAGGAAACAUCACCUCUGCAGCUUCAAGACGAGCCUUACAGAGUUAUUCGCUCUGUUUAAUCAUCCAAGGGGGAGGGAGUGUCGUAAUGACGAGAACUCCUCCGAGGGGAGAAUAGCGGCCCGUUGGGGUCGUUAGGCCAAUUCCUGGAGACAGUGAAAACAGAGGAGUGAUAGAGAUACUGAAGAUCGUACCUAGAUCCGACACCAGUGAUCCUAGGUGAGAAGCCUAAGGCGUGUCGGGGAACUGUAGGUAAGGGAACUCGGCAAAUUAGCCACGUAAGUUAGCGAUAAGUGGUGCCUGCGUUCUUAGUGUAGAACUGGGAUCGCAGGUUGCAAUAACGAGGGGGUCCCGACUGUUUAAUAAAAACACAGUAAACUGCAAGCCCGAAAGGGUGUGUACAGUUUAUGAAUCCUGGCCAGUGCAGGUACCUAAAACCUGGGUUCAACUGGGCUAAGGGCCUGUAAACGCCGGGAGUAACUCUGACUCUCAGCAAGAAAACAGUAAGGGAGUCGCUAAAUCUGGCCGUAUGCUGGAACAUCUGAGAAUGCCAGGCUAGUCCCCGUGGACUGACAAUGCCAUGGCUGCAGACAAUCAGCAGGAAAGCCUGGACACGAUGAACGAAAGUUUGUCCAGAAUCCUCAGAGACUAUACGCCAGAGGUCGCCCGCUAGCGACCAUGAUAUAGUCCGAGCCUCAGAGCGAUCUGAGGAGAUUCGCGCUCUAAACCAAUGGGUUCGGAGCAGGAAUCCGCCUCUAUUUUUGAAAAAGAGGUCAGAAAAGUAACAGAUUGCUUAAGGUAGCCAAAUGCCUUGUCGGGUGAGUUCCGACGUGCAUGAAUGGACCAACGAGGGCCCCGCUGUCCCUAUCUACGACCCGGCGAACCUACGUAAGCUGGACGAACAGUCCAGCAACUUCCAUCGGGGAGAGAAGUCCCUGUGGAGCUUUACUGCAGCUUGUUGCUGCGAUUCGGUUGCGGUUGCAGAGUGUAACGGGUAGACGUCGAAGCGUCAGCUCCGGCUGACGUGGAGUCAACAAUGUAACACCCGUCCCUCGCGACUGUAUCGCUAACUCCUCCGGGAGGACACCGGCAGGUGGGCAGUUCGGCUGGGGCGGCACCCCCUUGAAAAGAUAUCGAGGGGGCCCAAAGGUUGGCUCAACUGGGUCAGAACUCCAGUGUUGAGGGCAAGGCCAAAAGCCAGCCUGACAGGAAACUUAAACGCAGAGUUUUCUGCCACGAAAGUGUGGCCUAGCGAUCAUUCGAGUCCCCACUGUUGGGGGCCGGAUGUGACAGAAAAGUUACCCCAGGGGUAACAGGCUCGUCGCGGGCGAGAGCUCCAAUCGACCCCGCGGUUUGGUACCUUAACUAAAAAUUGGGGUAAAACCGCAGUAAUGUCGGUUUCAGCAUUGGCUUAUAACGGCGAACUCCUCCUUCCGUCGGAACACUGAGGAAAACGGGAGAGG